RNAcentral lists this ribosomal RNA (171 nucleotides) under Laemonema robustum (robust mora). RNAcentral describes it as "partial 12S ribosomal RNA". Lineage: Eukaryota; Metazoa; Chordata; Actinopteri; Gadiformes; Moridae. The record is from RNAcentral.
CACCGCGGUUAUACGAGAGACCCAAGUUGAUAAAAAACGGCGUAAAGCGUGGUUAAGAAAAUUAAAUUAUAGGGUUGAAUGGUCUCAAUUUAGUUAAAUGUACUCGAAGCCAUGAAGCACAAUUACGAAAGUAGCCCUACCAAAAUGUCUGACUCCACGAAAGCCAUAGAA